GAGCGCGUUUUGGGAAGCCCAAAGCAAAGCCAUGAGAGCUUAUGUUCAAAGUGGACAAUAUCAUAGCAUUGUGGAGAUUUGUGAUUCCUAACAUUU
Long non-coding RNA from Cucurbita maxima (winter squash), 96 nucleotides. RefSeq lists it as uncharacterized. The record is from RefSeq and is a predicted model, not a curated record. NCBI's taxonomy places the organism in Eukaryota, Viridiplantae, Streptophyta, Magnoliopsida, Cucurbitales, Cucurbitaceae. The transcript has 3 exons.